UGGCGGAGCCAUCCUUGGGAUACCACCCUUGUAGUACUGGGACUCUAACCAUAGGCCAUGAAUCUGGUCUUGGGACACUGUCAGGUGGGCAGUUUGACUGGGGCGGUCGCCUCCCAAAAGGUAACGGCGGCGCUCAAAGGUUCUCUCAGUACGGUCGGAAAUCGUACGUAGAGUGUAAAGGCAAAAGAGAGCUUGAUUGCAAGACAUACAGGUCGAGCAAGGAUGAAAAUCGGACUUAGUGAUCCGGUGGUUCUGCUGGAAGGGCCAUCGCU
RNAcentral lists this ribosomal RNA (272 nucleotides) under Clostridioides difficile. Its description in RNAcentral is "partial 23S ribosomal RNA". It matches the Rfam family "Bacterial large subunit ribosomal RNA", at positions 2178 to 2449 of the family's 2925-position model. The record is from RNAcentral. Lineage: Bacteria; Bacillati; Bacillota; Clostridia; Peptostreptococcales; Peptostreptococcaceae.